GUCUAAUACCGGAUACUGACCGGCCUGGGCAUCCAGGCGGGUCGAAAGCUCCGGCGGUGAAGGAUGAGCCCGCGGCCUAUCAGCUUGUUGGUGAGGUAACGGCUCACCAAGGCGACGACGGGUAGCCGGCCUGAGAGGGCGACCGGCCACACUGGGACUGAGACACGGCCCAGACUCCUACGGGAGGCAGCAGUGGGGAAUAUUGCACAAUGGGCGAAAGCCUGAUGCAGCGACGCCGCGUGAGGGAUGACGGCCUUCGGGUUGUAAACCUCUUUCAGCAGGGAAGAAGCGAAAGUGACGGUACCUGCAGAAGAAGCGCCGGCUAACUACGUGCCAGCAGCCGCGGUAAUACGUAGGGCGCAAGCGUUGUCCGGAAUUAUUGGGCGUAAAGAGCUCGUAGGCGGCUUGUCACGUCGGUUGUGAAAGCCCGGGGCUUAACCCCGGGUCUGCAGUCGAUACGGUCAGGCUAGAGUUCGGUAGGGGAGAUCGGAAUUCCUGGUGUAGCGGUGAAAUGCGCAGAUAUCAGGAGGAACACCGGUGGCGAAGGCGGAUCUCUGGGCCGAUACUGACGCUGAGGAGCGAAAGCGUGGGUAGCGAACAGGAUUAGAUACCCUGGUAGUCCACGCCGUAAACGGUGGGCACUAGGUGUGGGCAACAUUCCACGUUGUCCGUGCCGCAGUUAACGCAUUAAGUGCCCCGCCUGGGGAGUACGGCCGCAAGGCUAAAACUCAAAGGAA
RNAcentral lists this ribosomal RNA (737 nucleotides) under Streptomyces sp. 232. RNAcentral describes it as "bacterial SSU rRNA". It matches the Rfam family "Bacterial small subunit ribosomal RNA", at positions 161 to 909 of the family's 1533-position model. Lineage: Bacteria; Bacillati; Actinomycetota; Actinomycetes; Kitasatosporales; Streptomycetaceae. The record is from RNAcentral.